UCAGGCCGUCCCUCCAACUCCGGCCCGCCACCAAGCCUCCCCUCAGGGUUCCCGCCCCGCCGCAGGGACGCCCGGGCGCGUCCCACCCGCCACCCGGCAACUCCCGUGGGGACGCCCCGCCGCCGGGGCCGGGGCCGGCUCCCGGCCCGGGGGCGAAACAAAAGGAGGAGGCUUCAAGGAGUCCACGGAGAACAGAUCAAUGCUUGAUUUGCCAAGAGGUAUCCCUCCACACUCGGCAUACUCCCAAGUGCUUGCCUGAGACGCCAGGGAAACCAAAGGAAUAGGUGUAUGGAAUCCGCCUAACACUGAAGAUAAGAAAACAUUUUUUCCUCCUCAGGCCCCAAAGCAAGUGUCUACACAAAUAUUAGCACUGAGGACUAGCGAGGAGUCAGAUUCCAGCAAACCAAACACUACAGACAAGAUGGCUGAAAAAUGAGCCAGGGCAAAAAUUAUCUACUGCACUUAUAUUAACACCUAUUAAAACAUUAUUAAAGGUAGUUCUCGAGACAAACUACCUACUCUGUGCACACGUUUCCAGUAAGCAGAAGUUACAGUUUAACACUCUCCCUAUAAAAUGGUCCUAUUAAGAAACAUCCUCUCAAAAAGCUAGGGACUGUAAAGUAUGAAACUUCCCUAGUGCAAGUGCCUGGCCUUCUAAUAUUCAAUUGUAUCGUCUCCAUCUACUGGCCAGAAGCAGCUUUGGCUGGAGCACAGAACUGGUGAAGUAUAACCACUGCAUCCACAUACUUCUUCAUGCUAACUGUUGAUAGGGCCUCAUUUUAGCAGUUUUGGGGGUUUGGUGUUUAUUUUGUUUGGGCUGGGUUUUUUUUUUUCCCCUUUUCUUCCCCCCCAGGAAUACCGAUGCUGUUUAGACAAAACUCCACAGUAAAUCCGUCUCUUGCUAUUUUAUUCUCAGCUAUUUCAAAAUGGUGUUGUUGCACAAUUUUACUUCAACUCAUUCAGGCAACGUUAACUUCCACAAUUCAAUAUAUUGUGUUAUGAUUAUAUUUUCUGCAGGUCUGAGUACAAAAUGUGACUUUUAUUCUAAGCUUCUUUUCUUGGAAAAUUAGCAUUAGUUUUGAAGAUAGUAUAUGAUUAAUUUUGAUUAAUUUACAUCUAAUCCUGUCACCUCAAGAUAGGACUGUGCAGUUAUUAAAGAAAAAUGUUUUGUUAACAGCAUAUAUUACAUAAAAAACAUACUUCAGAUAUAUUAAAAAUGUAACUUUCUGUUGCUACUUAGGUAAAAAGAAGUCACACUUUUAAUGCAGAAAUAGUAAGUUGAAGAAAUAUCCCCUUUCUUUUUUUCCUCCUUCCUCACCCUCAAAAGACACUGGCCAUCUGCAAAAGGGAAUAAGCAGUGGGAAUGGUGUUGGCAAAGUAACGACCUUCUGAGCGAAACUGACUGAAGUUAAACUUGUAACUGCACGUCAGUGACCGCUAACUCAGGAACACUUCGCUAUUUACCCCUGCGUAACGGUCCCCUGGGGAGUGUCUGCCAACAUGCAUCAUUCCCACUUUUCUGGAAGCAAAUUCCAAAAUUCCAUUUCAGCAACCAGUAUCACUCUUGUGGUUCCUCAGGAGAGCUUUGAACCUCCUCUGAUAGGAGGAACACAUGACACCACAUCCUCCAAAAAAACCCACACACACACACCCCUUACAGCAUUCACUGCUUACUGUUGAAUUUUCAGUUUCUAUUGCUAAAUAGGUGAACCUGCACUACAAGUACUUGUGUGUGUCUAGUGUUAUAUCAGCUUAAGUUAUUCUUAAACCAAGAGUGGUACCAAUACUAAUCUCAAAAGACAUUUUGAUUUCACGGUUUAGCAGCUGCAAAAAUUCCCUGCACCUGAAGUGAGGUCACGGGCAGCCUCUUGAGUGAGAAAGCAAAAUCAUAAAAAUCAAAAGCAACUUGACCACACUAGGUCCUCCCUUACCUUCUUGAAAGCAUACAGAGACAAUUACAUCACAGGUCUGAACUGGCAUGACAGGACAGAUCUGACAGAGAUUGUAGAAACAGCCUCCUCAGAGCAGAAAUCGCUGUUUCUUGUCUCCAAACCCAAGAGGUGAAUUUCACACUAACUCCAGCCUUGCAAGAGCGCUCGGAGAUCAUCACCCCAGGCUGAUUUUCUAAACAGACUCAGAAUAGCUGAGAGGCUAUUUGGUUUCUUCUCUAUCAGGUAAUUAAAAGAUCAGAGUUAAUUCUGCAAGCAAAAAUCUGUGAACAUGUAACAAAUGUAAAGACCAAACAUUUGGGCCUCAUGGGCUGUGAAGGAACAAGACACCGUCUUUGAAAAACAACUACUCUGAUACAAAGAAGUUCUAAAACUCAUGAGACAAACCUACAUUUCUACUGGAAAAUACCGUUAAUGAGCUUAGCAUUUUGUAUUCAGAUAUGAAACACACAGCUCACUCAUGUCCUAAAUGGGUGUCCAUUCCUCGUAUCUCUUUUGAGUCAGAAAAGCUGCUGUAGAAACCUUUUCCUGAACUAAAAGCAAACUAAAUUUAGGGCUUCUAGGGCUAUAGCAGUGGGUAACAUCUCCUGAACAAGGCUCCUGUGAAAGAGGAAAACUCAUUCAGCAAUGGCAAAGAGGCACCAACUCGGUGUUACACCUGUUAAUAGUGUGUUAGUCUAAGGCUAACAUAAAUCAGAGAGAAAUCUAACUUGAUUACAAAGGGAGAUAUCGAUUGAGGUGGCUUACGCCCUCUGGAAAUAAAAGCAUCUUCUGAAUCACACCUUUGAAAAGGGAUUAAAUAGCAGGUAAUUUACCUGUCCCCGUGGAGCACCUCAAAAGUUAGCAGAAUCUCCUUCAGAACUGACAGGAUGAGGCACAGCAGGGGGCCUGUCUUUUAGAGAAAGGCUAUUUUUUUAAUUGGUUGAUUCCAGCAGUAGGAAACAAAAAUAAUUUCAGGAAAUCAAACCGUUUCCAAGUAGCCGCAUGAUAGUGCAACUACUGAGGCUAUUCAGCGAGCCAUCGAACUGCCAAUAAUAAACACCACCCCAAAGAACCCGAGAGACUAAAAAUCUCUCGUCUAUCAGCACCAACUCAGAUGGUGUCUCCUUUGGUCUCAGAUACUCCCUUAUGACAAAAUCUAUCAUCAUCUAGACACACCUGCUCUCCUUCACUGAAUAGGGCUGCGGACAAUUAUUUAUGUACAAACUUUGUUACCAAUAUCCAGCAUCGGGUGAGAUGAAUCCCAUGACUUUUAUCCAAUAUUGAGCCCAUACCUCUGAAAUCUGAGCAGACGUUAAGCUGUCCUGUGAGAUGUUCUUUCUCGAAGCAAUACAAACAUCUUCAUGAUAAUCAAAAAAGGGGAAAGCACCUCUACUAGACAGAAGCUUAGAUCCUAUUUACUGCUUCUCAGAAGACAACAAAUGCAUUUCUUAGAAUUUAAGAGACCAUCAAGCCCCACGCAUGUAAGCACAAUGGGCUAACUUAGCAAGUAAGAGUGAACUGAAUGAUUAAAUAGCAAGGGCCAAGGCUGCUCCAAUGCACAGCAAAAUCCUUCAGAGUUGAAAAAAAACACAGGGUGACAAAUACCUGACUUCUGUAUUACUUUUAAUACCACCCUCAUUGUAUCUGGAAGACCCUGUGUAUGCAUGCACCCCUGCAGACACCACAUAAGGCUCCAGUUCAAGAGCCCAAGGCAGCUGCGCACCCAGUACACAGAUGCAUACACAGAGUCAUUAGGAAAUUCACCUUCCUUAAUUCUUUAUUUCAUUGAAAAUUCCAACUGUGCAACCAGUCCGACUCUCACGCACGUACUCCGUACAUGAGACUGAAAGAUCUAGAUGUGCAGAGAACAGACGACAUUUGGCACAACAGCUGCCUUAUGCUGGGGAAUAGCAGCCCUUGCCCUCAGCAUUCCUUUGAAGUCUCUGCAGAGAAAAAGCAAUGACAGAAUGCCGCAGCAGUACACAAGCCUCGUGUUGAAAACAUGAAGUCAAGUCACUUUCUUAUAGAUUUUGCCCAGGGUUCUCAGGGAGAUCUUGUAGACAAAGCCAGGCAAAGGAGACUAGACAUUUAUCUGCAUUAAUAUCUUUCAUGAACAAGCUAGAGCCGCACACAAAAAGCAAGUAAUUUCACUUUCAGAACAGUAAAAACAGAUGAGAGCUUAGACUGGAACUCACCUUAGCUUUGGGAGAUGAGCUACUUUUCAAAGCUGUGUUCGUGAAUCCUAGUUACUAUUAGACACUUAAAUAAGCUAACGCAACUACAGUGCUGGGACAUCACGUCCAAAGCGUGGGGAGUUUUCUAGUUGUUUUUUUGUUGUUACUGAGUACAACUUUGAGCACUUUUGCUCAGAUGUCUGGGGUGGAUUAGGUACCUCUUUGUUCUGCGCCACAGCAGAGCACUGGUAUUGUUUGCAGUGCGCUUUAUGCUACGCUAGGUACAUCUCUUACCAAAUGCACAACUGGAGCUAUACUCAGGAAAAAUGGUUGAAAUAAAGCCAUGGCCCUUCCCAUAUCAGUAACGCAGUUAGAUUCCUUCAACUCCUUCCUAAGGAUGACUGUUUAUUUUUUGAUAGCUGCAGAUAAAGCUACUGUUCUACUAUACCUUGUUUGGGCAAGAGUACUUCAGUGCUGUGGAAGAUCAAGAAUGCUUGACUGCUUAAAAAAUUCUGUACUCCCGUAAGCCUCAAUUAAGGAACCUGAAAAGCUAAGAUUAGCUAUUCAGACAGCUUUUAAAUAGGUGAAAAGGGGAGUGUGGAGUUUAAAAAAAGCCUGCCUGAGUUGAAAAAACACCACAGAAACUUUUGGAUUAACUCUGACAAGUUCAGUGGGGAAAGGCAAGACGAGACCUCCAGGUGCUCCCUGGAACUGACAUACCUGUCAGGCUGGCAGUGCCCAGUGCCUAACCCUGUGCCCUUUUCUUUGAUAAAAUGAUUGGUAACAAGGUAGAAAGAAGCAACUGCCCAAAGUUGCUCUAUGCUGGCUCUGGUGCACAGAGCAGCCCCAUCUCCUGGUUCUAUCUGUUCUCAUUUACUUGGACUGAAAGGAAGAGAGCAACUAGAAUGCUGCUCUCUCACACUACAGAGAGCCAAAGGUGAUGCUGUUUCAGGGAAAAAUACCAAAUGUACUACUAUUUUCGCCACAUCAUGGUAAUCCAAAGAAGGGAAAAGAAAAAAAUUCUAAGGCUGAUGCUUUAGAAGUACAAAACACAAGCUGCAAGGAAAAACUUAAAUGUUUUAGACUGAAAUUCAAAUAAAGGAUACUUUAAAAAAUCAACAGGGAAGAUGAAAGAUAUGAAAUACCCCAAUUUUUAUAGUCAGGACCAGUGCUUGAGAAAACUGACCUGACUUACCAGUUCUCUCUCAGUACUGGUAUCUAAUCCUUAACAGUUCAUUUUCCAGAUGUAGGAAUGCUUGAAUUUCUGCAAAUACCAGAUUAACAGUAUUUAACCAAGUGGAAACUGGAGCAGUAGACGCUUUGUUAUGCUGUUUCAGCUGGCUCUAGACAAAUUACAGCAUCGACCCAUACGGUUAGGGCAGCCCAUGUCACAAACACUUGGAUCUAACAGUCCCAGGCAGUUUUUGAUACACCUCAUUCUGUACUGGGUGUUUUUUGAAACAUUUUUGAAGACAAAACUAAGGUUAUUCUUUAGUAAGAGGAGAAUUUAUUAAAUGUAAAGUUCUACCUUUUCUUAUUGUAAAGGAAGAAAACUUACACCCUUACAUUUAAGAGACUAUCGAGAUUGACUUGAAGAACACUUCAGUAAACAACUGCCGUUUUUAAAGAUCGGUGCACAUACUAACGUCUUCAAAGUAACGGUGUGAAAACUUCACUCUCCUUUGUUAGAAAUCAGAUACCCCGUGCUUACGUUUGCCAGUGUGUUAGCUGGGAAAUGAUGUAUUGCUCGUGCAGUGCCAAGGAGACCUGAAAAGUUUUUUUGAUUCUGCCAGGUCAGGCGAGCAGCCACCCGACUGCUUUAAGGCCGACACAGACUACUCUAACAGUAUCGCUGGCUGCCGGAUCAUGUUGCGCAUUUGCAGCUGGAACAACACUACAUUUUAAAAGGUUAUGAAAUGCAAUUGCAUCUGAACACGGAACACAUUUUAAAGUCAAGGUAUGUAAAUUUACUGUCAUAAAAGGAAUGCCAUUGAGUUUCCAUUCUACACACUUGGGUGAAAAGUUUGUUAAAAAGUCAAGAAACAAAACCGCGUAAAAUCUGCAAUAGGCAACAAUAUACAGAGUUUCAAAUAUAAAAUCAUGACUUGUAUAGUUUGUUACUCGCAUCUUUUCACAAGAGGAAAUUAAAAGAACCACACAUCACUGAACUUCUACACAAGCUUCUUGUGUUUCAAUGUCAUUUAUUGAGGAGUGAAUGAGAUACUGUCAGACAUGCCAAAGAGACUUCACAUUCAAGGGCUGGAAGCUGAACAGCUUUCCUCAUUGAGUCACUGUACAAGUUGGUUUUGGGAAUCUGAAAGUGCGAUCAAUGAGGUCUUCAUGCUCGAUGUUUGUCUUCAGUUUUUCAUCUUUUGAUCUACUAACUUGUCGGGCAGAAGGACGCUUUCUACCCUACAAAGACUCACACUCCAAUUAAUACAAUUAACACUAGAUGUAGAGAAACGUUUAUCUGUUAUAACGUACAUCUACUGCUGAGUACAAGGUCUUAAAGCUGUUUCUUAAUUCAUUAUGUCUAAUGAGAAGAUUCAACUUGUUUCCCUUUCGCCAUCGUAUGGAUGGCUUAUACCGUUAGAAAAAUACUCUUCAGUGCUAUUGUAGGGUUUACAGGAAACUUCUUCCGUGUUGUGGGACAGAAACCGAUUUAAACACCGUUCUGAAAGAAUGCUUCUUCCUGCUGCCACUGCCUGUAGGUUGCAGAAGAAUGGCCUACACGCACUACAGUUCUGGUUUUACUCAAAAAAGAAACAAAA
Non-coding RNA from Phalacrocorax carbo (great cormorant), 6876 nucleotides. The record is from RefSeq and is a predicted model, not a curated record. NCBI's taxonomy places the organism in Eukaryota, Metazoa, Chordata, Aves, Suliformes, Phalacrocoracidae.